Non-coding RNA from Arthrobacter agilis, 396 nucleotides. The record is from Rfam. NCBI's taxonomy places the organism in Bacteria, Bacillati, Actinomycetota, Actinomycetes, Micrococcales, Micrococcaceae.
UGGGUCGACCAGGCGGCCGCGUUGGAGGUGCCCACGGGCUGCUCCACCGAGGAACGUCCGGGCUCCGCAGGGCAGGGUGGUGGGUAACGCCCACUCGGGGUAACCCGCAGGCCAGUGCCACAGAAAAGAGACCGCUUCCCUUUCCGGUCCAGGCCGGAGGGAAGUAAGGGUGAAAAGGCGGUGUAAGAGACCACCAGCGCAUCGGGUGACCGAUGCGGCUCGGUAAACCCCACCCGGAGCAAGGCCAGACAGUGCGCGUGAUCAGGGCUGCCCGCCCGAGUGCACGGGUAGGCCGCUGGAGGGCGUCGGCAACGGCGUUCGUAGAUGGAUGGCCGCCACUUGCACGAUGGCGACGUCGUGCGAUGACAGAACCCGGCGUAUCGGUCGACCCAUCCC